UACGUAGGGUGCGAGCGUUGUCCGGAAUUAUUGGGCGUAAAGAGCUCGUAGGCGGUGUGUCACGUCGGCCGUGAAAACCUGGGGCUUAACUCUGGGCGUGCGGUCGAUACGGGCAUCACUAGAGUUCGGCAGGGGAGACUGGAAUUCCUGGUGUAGCGGUGAAAUGCGCAGAUAUCAGGAGGAACACCGGUGGCGAAGGCGGGUCUCUGGGCAACUACUGACGCUGAGGAGCGAAAGCGUGGGGAGCGAACAGG
Molecule: ribosomal RNA, 254 nt
Filed under: uncultured bacterium
Lineage: Bacteria
Description: partial 16S ribosomal RNA
Rfam family: Bacterial small subunit ribosomal RNA
Source: RNAcentral